Molecule: ribosomal RNA, 481 nt
Filed under: uncultured bacterium
Lineage: Bacteria
Description: partial 16S ribosomal RNA
Rfam family: Bacterial small subunit ribosomal RNA
Source: RNAcentral
GAUGAACGCUGGCGGCGUGCUUAACACAUGCAAGUCGAACGAAGCAUUUAGGACAGAUUACUUCGGUUUGAAGUUCUUUAUGACUGAGUGGCGGACGGGUGAGUAACGCGUGGGUAACCUGCCUUGUACUGGGGGAUAGCAGCUGGAAACGGCUGGUAAUACCGCAUAAGCGCACAAUGUUGCAUGACAUGGUGUGAAAAAGUCCGGUGGUAUAAGAUGGACCCGCGUCUGAUUAGCUAGUUGGUGAGAUAACAGCCCACCAAGGCGACGAUCAGUAGCCGACCUGAGAGGGUGACCGGCCACAUUGGGACUGAGACACGGCCCAGACUCCUACGGGAAGCAGCAGUGGGGAAUAUUGCACAAUGGAGGAAACUCUGAUGCAGCCACGCCGCGUGAGUGAAGAAGUAAUUCGUUAUGUAAAGCUCUAUCAGCAGGGAAGAUAGUGACGGUACCUGACUAAGAAGCACCGGCUAAAUACGUG